RNAcentral lists this transfer RNA (72 nucleotides) under Gloeomargaritaceae cyanobacterium C42_A2020_066. It matches the Rfam family "tRNA". Rfam says of the family: Transfer RNA (tRNA) molecules are approximately 80 nucleotides in length. The record is from Rfam by way of RNAcentral. Lineage: Bacteria; Bacillati; Cyanobacteriota; Cyanophyceae; Gloeomargaritales; Gloeomargaritaceae.
GGGCGGUUAACUCAGCGGUAGAGUGUCUGCCUUACAAGCAGAAAGCCACUGGUUCGAAUCCAGUACUGCCCA